Molecule: ribosomal RNA, 253 nt
Filed under: uncultured bacterium
Lineage: Bacteria
Description: partial 16S ribosomal RNA
Rfam family: Bacterial small subunit ribosomal RNA
Source: RNAcentral
GACGGAGGAUGCAAGCGUUAUCCGGAAUUAUUGGGCGUAAAGCGUCCGUAGGCGGCUAAUCAAGUCUGCUGUCAAAGGCUACAGCUUAACUGUAGGAAGGCAGUGGAAACUGAAUAGCUAGAGUGUGGUAGGGGUAGAGGGAAUUCCCAGUGUAGCGGUGAAAUGCGUAGAUAUUGGGAAGAACACCAGUGGCGAAGGCGCUCUACUGGGCCAACACUGACGAUGAGGGACGAAAGCUAGGGGAGCGAAAGGG